Molecule: ribosomal RNA, 432 nt
Filed under: uncultured bacterium
Lineage: Bacteria
Description: partial 16S ribosomal RNA
Rfam family: Bacterial small subunit ribosomal RNA
Source: RNAcentral
AACGAACGCUGGCGGCAUGCCUAACACAUGCGAGUCGAACGAGACCUUCGGGUCUAGUGGCGCACGGGUGCGUAACGCGUGGGAACCUGCCCUUAGGUUCGGAAUAACUCCCCGAAAGGGGUGCUAAUACCGGAUAAUGUCUUCGGACCAAAGAUUUAUCGCCUUUGGAUGGGCCCGCGUUGGAUUAGCUAGUUGGUAGGGUAAAAGCCUACCAAGGCGACGAUCCAUAGCUGGUCUGAGAGGAUGAUCAGCCACACUGGGACUGAGACACGGCCCAGACCCCUCCGGGAGGCAGCAGGGGGGAAAAUUGGACAAUGGGCGAAAGCCUGAUCCCGCAAUGCCGGGUGAGUGAUGAAGGCCUUAGGGUUGUAAAGCUCUUUUACCCGGGAUGAUAAUGACUGUCCCGGGGGAAUAAGCCCCGGCUACCUCCUU